UGUGUUCUGCAUCCUGCCAGAGGCCGGGGGUGAGGGUGGCACGCUGUUCGCCACGCUGGCGACGCCUCCGCUGUAACGUAUACCAUCAAACCACGGUCAAUUACGCUUUACGUACGUGUACACGCGUAGGGAGGUCGUUUCUCGUCCCUGUAGUUUGCACGGCACGGUGCACAACGGACGAGAGAAACCGAGAGAGCCAGCAUGGAAGAAAAGGACAAAAAGUAAGAGAACGAGAGAGAAGGCGAUGCACAGACACAGAAACAGAGGAAGAGGCAAGAGGAAGCUGCACAAGCAGUCCUGAACCUUCGAUUUAAUUGAUCGAAAAUUUCCUGUACCGUAACUGC
This 344-nucleotide unclassified non-coding RNA is filed under the name Bombus terrestris (buff-tailed bumblebee). Its description in RNAcentral is "misc RNA ENSBTSG00005036927.1". Lineage: Eukaryota; Metazoa; Arthropoda; Insecta; Hymenoptera; Apidae. The record is from RNAcentral.